GAAGAAAGAAUUAAUAAACUUGAAGGACAAUAUGUACAAGUAUUAGAUAAUAAUAUGUUCCACUUCAACAAGAACUACGUUGAGAAAAAUGAUGUAAUGUAGUUGUAUAUCUAGUAGUAUUUAGAUAAUACGUUCUACUUCAACAAGAAAGCCAAACUUUGAUCUAACAAAGGUGAAAGUUUGUUCAUAACAACAACAUUAAUUAUUGUGGAAUUCACAUAUGAUAAUCAAUAACUAAUUACAAUAGGGGCACGGCAAGAACAAAUUAUUAAAAAUCCAUGGUACAAGAGUUUUCCUACUGCUGAACUUGAGCUUGGCAAUGAAUUUCUGACUCAGAAACUCGUUUCUUGUAUUGAGCAAUGAAAGCUGUGGCUCUGAGGUCAAUGACAGGAUCAGCCACCCCCCAGCGACCUCUGUCCUCAUCACUAGGCCAAACUUUGGUCCAUUGCUUUGGUGCAUCAUCAUAAUUAGCAUCAUAGUGCCCUCCUCCUCUUUGCCUAUUGCUAGAUUUGAAAAUGUUGAAAACUGACUUGAAGGUGGAAGAUUUCCUUUGCCUGUUACCACCCAUAGCUAUUGAAUUUGAAAACACUAGAGAGUAGUAGUGAGUAGUGUUCCUUUGGUUAGUGAGGAUAUUAUUAGGCUUGAUGAAUAGGAAAGAAUUGAAGAAUUGUCUUGUGUUGUGUGUUCCAACAUGCUAGCUAGGGAGUUUCAAUUUAUAUAGUACUGCUAAACGUCCUUUGUUAAGCUUAGACAAGGGAAUCUGAUUCAAACCAACCGGUAAGUCCCAAUAUUCAUGGUCCAAACAUACUCACAUGGGACAGUAAACAAUUA
RNAcentral lists this long non-coding RNA (831 nucleotides) under Glycine max (soybean). RNAcentral describes it as "long non-coding RNA (GMAX_LNC002264)". The record is from RNAcentral. Lineage: Eukaryota; Viridiplantae; Streptophyta; Magnoliopsida; Fabales; Fabaceae.